This 917-nucleotide ribosomal RNA is filed under the name uncultured bacterium. Its description in RNAcentral is "bacterial SSU rRNA". It matches the Rfam family "Bacterial small subunit ribosomal RNA", at positions 8 to 916 of the family's 1533-position model. The record is from RNAcentral.
AGAGUUUGAUCAUGGCUCAGGACGAACGCUUGCGGCGUGCCUAAGAAAUGCAAGUCGAGCGAGGGAUCACGCUGACCAAAGCUUCGGCAGAGGUCUUGUGAAACCUAGCGGCGAACGGUCGCGUAACACGUAAGCAACCUGCCCUGAAGCGGGGGAUAGCCCACCGAAAGGUGGAUUAAUACCGCAUGUGGAUGCUUUGUCGCAUGGCAGAGUAUCUAAAGCAGCAAUGCACUUCAGGAUGGGCUUGCGGCCUAUCAGCUAGUUGGUGGGGUAACGGCCUACCAAGGCGACGACGGGUAGCUGGUCUGAGAGGAUGGUCAGCCGGAUUGGGACUGAGACACGGCCCAGACUCCUACGGGGGGCAGCAAUUAGGAAUCUUGCGCAAUGGGGGCAACCCUGACGCAGCGACGCCGCGUGAGCGAUGAAGUCUUUCGGGAUGUAAAGCUCUGUCCUGUGGGGAAGAAGAAUGUGACGGUACCCACAGAGAAAGCCCCGGCUAACUACGUGCCAGCAGCCGCGGUAAUACGUAGGGGGCGAGCGUUGUCCGAAUUUACUGGGCGUAAAGCGCGUGUAGGCGGUUCUUUAAGUCAGGUGUGAAAUCCUGUGGCUCAACCACAGAACUGCAUUUGAAACUGAAGGGCUUGAGUGUGGGAGAGGAAAGUGGAAUUCCUGGUGUAGCGGUGAAAUGCGUAGAUAUCAGGAGGAACACCCGUGGCGAAGGCGGCUUUCUGGCCCACCACUGACGCUGAGACGCGAAAGCUAGGGGAGCGAACGGGAUUAGAUACCCCGGUAGUCCUAGCCGUAAACGAUGGAUACUAGGUGUUAGAGGUAUCGACCCCUCUAGUGCCGUAGCUAACGCAUUAAGUAUCCCGCCUGGGGAGUACGGCCGCAAGGUUAAAACUCAAAGGAAUUGACGG